Molecule: ribosomal RNA, 253 nt
Filed under: uncultured bacterium
Lineage: Bacteria
Description: partial 16S ribosomal RNA
Rfam family: Bacterial small subunit ribosomal RNA
Source: RNAcentral
UGCGUAGGGGGCUAGCGUUGUCCGGAAUCAUUGGGCGUAAAGCGCGUGUAGGCGGUUCGGUAAGUCCGCUGUGAAAGUCGGGGGCUCAACCCUCGGAUGCCGGUGGAUACUGUCGGACUAGAGUACGGAAGAGGCGAGUGGAAUUCCUGGUGUAGCGGUGAAAUGCGCAGAUAUCAGGAGGAACACCGAUUGCGAAGGCAGCUCGCUGGGACGUUACUGACGCUGAGACGCGAAAGCGUGGGGAGCAAACAGG